This 201-nucleotide ribosomal RNA is filed under the name uncultured prokaryote. Its description in RNAcentral is "partial 16S ribosomal RNA". It matches the Rfam family "Bacterial small subunit ribosomal RNA", at positions 524 to 724 of the family's 1533-position model. The record is from RNAcentral.
GACGUAGGGCGCGAGCGUUGUCCGGAUUUAUUGGGCGUAAAGAGCUCGUAGGCGGUUUGUCGCGUCGUUCGUGAAAACUCACAGCUCAACUGUGAGCUUGCGGUCGAUACGGGCAGGCUAGAGUUCGGUAGGGGAGACUGGAAUUCCUGGUGUAGCGGUGAAAUGCGCAGAUAUCAGGAGGAACACCGGUGGCGAAGGCGG